Nicotiana tabacum (common tobacco) is the source of this 4455-nucleotide non-coding RNA. NCBI's taxonomy places the organism in Eukaryota, Viridiplantae, Streptophyta, Magnoliopsida, Solanales, Solanaceae. The record is from RefSeq and is a predicted model, not a curated record.
ACGAGACAGGAAGAGUAGUGUUGUGUCAUGAAAUAAUUAGAUUAUGAAAAUACAUUCCAAAUACUAAUAAAAUGUUGCUCAAUCAUGAGCUCUUGGCUUUAGCAGUACUUUACAUGACCAACUAAACUAAAUUAGAAAACUUGCAGUAACUUUUCUAGCAAGAGGAUCGAAGGCGUGGUUACAAAGUGACCUGCGUGACUUAUAAUCUAUUUUAUCACUUGAGAAGGAGAUUAAUAUUUUAAUAUGCUAGAGCCUGGAUGUUAAAAAUCUGUCAUAGUCAAGCAAAAGUGGAUAAGAUCCUUUCUUAUAUUCUUCUUCUUACAAUUUUCUUUAUUUAUAGUCUACCAACAAUUUUAAUCUUGAAUUUAAUUAUAUAAUAUGUUGACGGAACAUUUGAUUAUCCGUGUAAUUUUCUCUGUGUGGUUUGGGGGAUAUGGAGUAAGUAUGGCAGAAAAUAGUUGUUGUGCUGAUCCGUUCAACUUUUCAAUUCCCCUUAUUAAUAAGCGACAGUUUGAGGAGCUUGGGGUCUCUAGGGGUAUUUUGGGAAAACUGCAAAUAUUUUGGCAAAAGUUACGUGCUAACCCUACUUUGGUUUUGCCACGUUCCUUACACCGCUCAAACGGACAACAUCUAUACUCCACUUCAUACUGUUCUCCCUCGAAAUUGUUAGUGCUCAACUCCUCUUCCAAUUUCCUCUGUCUCUUUCAAUCUUCUCUCUUCCUGGACAAUUUAUUCGCGUUGGUCAUACAGUUAUAAGGUGAAUUUUGGUUUCUUAUUUUCUUGAUUUUUGGAAUAGUGGUUGCAUAGAAUUGUUUAAACUGAGUAAAUUGUUCGUCGAUCACUCUCUGUUCCUUUGUCCAGAAAAAUCUAGGACGAAUAUCUAAUUACAAAAGAAAGUGAUUAUAAACUACCAGUUGACUUCCCAACCCUUUGAACUAGACAUUAUGGGGUGUAGACGUUUACCACAUGAUAGUGAAAAUAAAAUUGGUAUGCUACAACAUCGAUCCAAACGCUAUAGUUUGACACUAAAAAAUUAAAAUCAAAAUUCUUGUUUCGACAAGGUUAGACAUUAGAAUCUGAUUCAAGAACACAAGGGAUCGACUUGAAAAGGGAGGGAUCGAGCAUGAUUUUCAGAUAAUACGCUAUUGAUACUAAUCUUUCUACUGCAUGAUUUUCAAAAGGUUUGCAUUAUUUGAAAAUUUCAUUAUUUUUAAAAGGUUUAUUAGUUGGAGUUCAUAAUGAUUUUCUGAAGGGAUAAGUUUGAUUAAACUUAUUUGUUUCUACUAAAUAGUCCAAAAUUACAUAUGUACAAUAUGUUCCUCAAGGGGACCAAUUAGCUUAGGUUUUCCGUUUUGCAAUUAGGGACUGAUAAGACAGGUGGGUGAGGGCUUGCUAGAGCAAAGGCAUUUAUGAGAGUUAUGAAUGCAGUUGCGCUAAAUUCUCAACUGAAGCCGCUUUGCCUCACUAGGAUUAUAGGUUCAUGAUCUUUAAGCUAUAAAUAAGUUUAGUUGAUUGUCAAUGUUAAUGCAUUGUUUGUUCUUUACUUGCAAUUUUAUAGUAAAAAAGAACUAUUAACCAGUAAUUGAUAUUGCAAAUUAUGUUAUUGUGUUUGAUGUCGUUGUAUUAGUACUCUGCUGUAUUUUUGUUCUGGUAACCGAAAAGAAUAAAGUGCCUAAUCAUAUUUAUAUGGUUCUUUGUAGAAAUAGUUCAUAUUAGCAAAACGAAUUGUAAUAUGAAGCGAUAACUGUAGAAUUAUAGUUGGAUUUAAUAGUUAGUAUCGUAAAACUAAUUAAUUGAUAAUAUUUUCCAUUCCUGUUUUCUAUUUUAUUCUCAACAUCCCCCUGCCAAAAAGUUUUUUGUGUUCUGCUUCUGGCUGCAAUGAAAGAGCACCGAUCUAUAUUUAGCAUAUAAAUUUCACAAAGUAAUGUUAUUGUCUUACAAUUUGAUGAUCUUUAAGCUAUAACUAAGUUUAAGUCAUUGUCAACUUUCCAAAGUGAUUUACUAUGGUGUACACUCAUUAGAUUCGGUAAGAAUCACUUAAGUUUUAUUACUCUUACUGUAAUUUAUUACUGGAAAUAAUUUAAUCCUUUCAAUAGACUUGGCUAAGGAAAAAGCACAGAUCUGUAUUUAGUGUAUAAAUUUCAUAAAAUAAUGUCAUUGUCUUAUAGUUGAUAAUUGACAAUCUUUAAGCUAUAAAUAUUAGGUGAUUGUCAAAAUUAAUGCAUUAGUUGCUCUUUACUUACAUUUUAUCCUACAAUCUGUGUAUUUGUUGUCAUUGUAUGAGUUCUCUGCUGCAUUCUUAUUUUGGUAACUAUAAAGAAUAGAGUACCUAAUGAUGUUUUGUUGAAACAAAGGAGAACUUUGAUGCAGCUAAAGGGCUUGACAAUAUGCUUAACAACUGAACAUUUUCCCCGCUCAGCUGAAGUUAUUUCUUCAGUGGCUUUGCAGUAUCAAAUCUUCAAUUGCUAAUAAAAAGUUGUACUUAUCUUUGUGGUUCAGAUUUUCUAACAGAAAAAAAAGCUAGAACAAGAUCAAGAUCACUAGCACUGAUCCAAACUCCUUGACAUUAGUUUCAUGUAAAACUGAUCAAUACUACCAUGGUGGUUGCAAAACUUUCUUACGUUUGUCCAAUAGCAUGCUCAAUAAAACGUUAAUGUUCUUUAUUUACAUGUUGAUGUUGAUAAUAUACCGGUUGUUGACAUAACCUUUAUUAAGAAAAAAAUCAUGUUCUAGACCAAGUAAGUCAACAUGUGCUUCUACUGCUACAUAUGGUGACGGUGAGUAUCUUGCUUGCUCUCUUUCUGGCAUUUCAUUUUUUUUGCUCAAAAUGAACUCAAUUUUAAUUUGCCGAUAACUGUUUUUUGAAAAUAGGUUGACAUCCUCCUAUGGACAUUGAUCUUUUCCACCUUAUCAAAAAAAAAAAUGAAUAUUGAUCUUUCCCUGAGCAAUGCACUACGUCCUACAAUGUUGAAGACCCAAUUUGCUGACACCAUCAUCAAAGUGAAACAGAAAUCUCUUUCACUUGAUGAGUGUAUUUCGUAUCACAUAGUUGAAUCAGCAUGAUAAGUCUAAUCUUCAGUCUGAAAUAGCCUAUCUCUUAUCCAACAAUAUUCUUUCGUAUUCGACAGUAAUAGCUUUACUGCAGAUUUUCCUAAUCGCUUGUGUUGUUUUCUUUUGUCCUGCUUUAACUCAAGCUUGGUCUCUUUCGUCCGUAGUAUUAUAUUCUUGCGUCAGCAUCAUACUAAUUGAGUUUGUUCAUCCUUACGUCAUAGGUGUCUUGUUAUACUAAAUGAAAAUUUGAAGAAUCUGUUUAUUGAAGCACAUAUUGAUUUUGACAUUAUAUUAGAAGUAUUAGUAUAAUAAUCGCAUAGAAAAACUGAUAACUAGAUUUCUUUUUAUUUCUAGGUAGGUUGAAGAUUGCACUGGACAUACUACUUUUCUUUCCUUUUCUUGUUCUUUGUACUGGAAUUUCUGCUACUUCUUUCUUCUGUUGAAGUGUAUUCCGUUCGGUAAAUAUAAGGUUUUACAGUGAGUGUAGCAUUAAAGUUGUAGGUUAAUGGACUUUCAAAUGAGAAAAAGUCCAAUAGUCAAUUCUUUCUAAUGUUCUGCAUGUUUAUUGACUUCAGUUGGUCUGCUAUAAAAAGGUAUACCACAGAUGUGAAGUUCUAUAAUCAGGAAUUCAACAAACACGUUUUGUAGAGAAAAAGUGAUCAUUUGUCACCAACCAUUUGCUAUUAUAUUCUGGUAGUAAUAACGUUAUUGCAGAUCUAUGGAUGUUCCUAUAAGAUAACCCUAAUAACAUUAUUGCAUAUCUAUAGAUGUUUCUUUAAGACCACCUUUCACUUCGUUUCACUGUGAGAAACUUUAUUUCUCGUGAUUUGUUAUUGUUUUAUUCAUUUCAUUUGAUAGGGUAAUCUUUAUGGCCAAGAUAUUACCAGUUUAAGGUGUUGCAAAUAUGAUGGAAGUUAAAAGCACAAUUGUACCUCAGAGUGGUAUCUCAGCCUGAAAAAUUUACAGAGUAUUAUAUCUGGACUGGGAUCACAGAGUUUAUACGUUUAUGGAAAAAGGCCUUUCCAAUUGUACGAUUGCUUAACAAAUGCAAUCCUUGCAUCAAGCACUGACAACUAUCUUGAAGAAAACAUUCUGAAUACAUUAGAACCAAGUGACUGAGUUAGCUGGUGGGCUUCAUACUGGACAAGUAGAGGAGAAAUAUCAAAGUUUGUGCUUGAUUUCAUAAUUCAUGUGCAACCAUUUCAAGGUUUCACCUCAAGUUCUAUUUUCGGUGAUGUUAUGGAUUUGUUCAUUCGACUUGUUUUUUUUUUCUCAUUAACCAGAAAUAUUAUAAUUUUGUAACAACAUAUUUCCAGUUUGGUUUUCCUCUUUAUUCAACAAAAGCUGUGAGAUUCAGAGUUGGACAUCCUAAUGUUAAAUUUUCAUGUUGCAUAAUUGCCUUUA